This 5585-nucleotide long non-coding RNA is filed under the name Megachile rotundata (alfalfa leafcutting bee). RNAcentral's name for it is "uncharacterized LOC105662557". Lineage: Eukaryota; Metazoa; Arthropoda; Insecta; Hymenoptera; Megachilidae. The record is from RNAcentral.
UGUCAGGUACCAUUUUUAUCUUGAUACUUUUAUUUUCAUUUUGCAAUAGUGGAAUAAAUCGACAGGCGUAGUCUCACGUAGAACCGAGGAAGAAUAAGCAAGAAGAGAGAGCCGGUCAAGCCGAGCCUAGGGCAUCAAAGAUUUAAGCUUCGUAUCUCUUAAAGCCGUCAUUCGUCCCUUACACGCCCACUCGUACAUGUCUCCUACCCUCCAUUGUCUCGGUUCUACCGAACGGUAAACUAUUUAUCAGCAGUCUGAAACGAGUUACCGCGAAUGUGCAUUUCGCCGCAGCAGCUUUUUCUCGAUUCACGUACUCGCGUGAAUGUUUCAAGGACAGGUACUUCUCGGUUUACGUGAACUUCGGCUACUUCCACCUAAAAAGGGUGAUUCAAGGAACGGGGAGCGACAGCUCGAGGACUCUACGUCCUCUGUUGAAUACAGGAAAUUUUUAGAAAUAGGUAAAAAACGAGGAAUAUUUAGCAGAGAUAUGUGGUUUGGAAGGUCUCGAUGCUAGUUGAAAUGCGAGACGCUUCCUUGGAGCUCGUUCAACUCGCUACAUAAUGCAGCUGGUUAUAUUGAAUACUCCGCGGCAAAGUGAUAAAGAAAUCCGCGAAAAGCUCCCUAGACUGACGUUUACGGAAUAUUAGAUAGACGUGUUUCAGAAGGAUUUGAACGUAUUUCAUUCUCUUCCGCAAUUUUUCAUUGGGGAAAAAUGGGGUUUAACGAUUCUUGAUCGAUAAAACGCGAUAAAUCGUACAAAGGGUGGGUAACCACCCUUAUGAAAUGCUCCAUUUCCCCUUUAAGCUAAUAUCGUUCGAACGGCUACUUACGGCCACUGAUUUGUAAUGCAAUUUUCUGCCUAGCUAAAGUCUCGGAUAAAAAUAACGUUUCCCUAUUAAUUCGAUAAGGAUUGUCUGAAUUUUCCUAUUACUCACCUGUUCUAUUUUCUGGACAGAAGAUAAAUAAGUAAAAAUCAUUGCCCAUGAUCGUGGAAUCGCGUGACCGCGUUUCGUGACGCGAUUCACCCUCAGAAAACAAGGAAAAACAGAAGGGAAAAGCCCAGACGAUUUACGCUCGUGAAUUUUUUGCUAUUCCCGUAUUCUCGGUUCUCCAACCCCGGUGACCUUAAUACCUUCCCCAGUCAAUUAUGAAAACUGAAAUACGAGGAAAGUUUCCUGUUCGUAAUAGAUCCGUUUUCUCGUUCUUCGAUCGACGUCCAAGAUGGCGGAUACAUCGAUAGGGUAUCCAUUCGGGAGUGGAUGCGUGUAAAUGUGCUCCGCUCGCAUCUUUAGGGUGAAAAUAUGCCCGCCUGUUCCGGAUAUAUCGCGUCGCUUCGUGCUGUUGCGAUAUUACGCUGGAGGAUAUAAAAGGGGAGAAUAUAAACGCGUGGCACGAACUUAUGCUAUCGAAUUACGGUCAUCGUUUUUCUGUCACGUGUAUUAGACUUCGUCUGCCUUUACUUGCUUCGAUAUUUUUCUUUCUUUGUCUAUUGACUACAAUUUGACGUCCGUUAAAAUUUAAGGAUAUUAAAAUAUUUUAUGUUUAGCUAGGCUAUGCAAUGUUUAGGAUAAAGCAAGUUUUGGGACAAACUUUAAUAUUGUAGUGAAAGUUGUAACAUUUGCAAUGUGCAACAGAGACAUUAAGGUCAAUAGACAAUUUAAUAUGUGUUCAUUCUUUUCUUCUUUUCUCAAUUAACUUGCUAUACUAUUUGUCAUAUGUUCAUAGCUUAAAAUUGAAGAAAAUUAAGAUAUUUUAUAUUCAGCAAGGCUAUGCAAAGUUUAGGAAUAAAGCAAGUUUUGGGACAAACUUUAAUAUUGUAGUCAAGUUUGCAACAUCUGCAAUGUGCAACAAGGACAUUAAGGCCAAUAAACAAUUUAAUAUUUGUUUAUUCUUUUCUUCUUUUCUCAAUUAACUUGCUGUACUAUUUGUCACAUGUUCAUAGCUUAAAAUUGAAGAAAAUUAAGAUAUUUUAUAUUCAGCAAGGCUAUGCAAAGUUUAGGAAUAAAGCAAGUUUUGGGACAAACUUUAAUAUUGUAGUCAAGUUUGCAACAUUUGCAAUGUGCAACAGGGACAUUAAGGUCAAUGUACAAUUUAACAUUUGUUUAACUAAAAAUUAUAAACUUGUAUCAACUUUAAAAUGUCAGUCAAGUUUGCAACAUUUCUAAUGAGGAACAGGGACACUAAGGUCAAUGUACAAUUUAACAUAUGUUUAACUAAAAAUUACAAACGUGUAUCAACUUUAAAAUGUCAGUCAAGUUUGCAACAUUUUCAACGUGCAGUAGACAUUAAGGUCAAUGAACAUUUUAACAUUUGUUUAAUCAAAAGUCACAGAAAUUACCUCAAGUAAAGCGAAAGUUUUAAACCUGUUGCGUCCAAAAUACCGUAAACGCAGAAACUAAUCGAUGAAACCGCUUACGAAAAUCAAUCCCAAGAAAUAUAUUUGAGACACCGCAGGAAUACGAGCUAAUAUUUCUCGAAGGGAGAAAAAGGUACGGUGAAAUUUCCGUGCUUUUUUCCCAUGGCGACCGCAAUUUAGCCGACAGGGACGUACAUAACGCGUGCCCUUGGGGGUCCAAUAUCGAUUUCCGUCUGGCCUCUAGCGUAAUACCUACCUGUAUCUGCUCCUUUUCUUCGCAACCUAUUUUUUCGAAAGAUAAGGAAUUUAGGGAAAGAAUGCAUCUUUUCUUCGAAUGAUCCAUCUUUGGGAGAUAUAAGAGUGGAAACUUUUAUAUGGACAAAAAGUCACGUGUAAUAAUGAUAAUGAUAAUGAUAAUCGUAUUAACUAAGGUAGUGACAAAAAUAAAUCGCAACGAUACAAAUAAGUCUUACGGUUCAUAAAUUAAUAGUAAUUCCGCCUUUCUCCCGCGGGACAUCUUCUUGCCGCUCUUCCCUCGAUUUCUUCGUUCCUUCCUUCGGGAGUCCCUCUAUGCCGGUAUCGCGCUUUCGUGACUAGACAGACUAGUUUCGAAAUCGUCGAAAACGUGGAGCAUGUUACAACGUAGAUAUAUUUUAAGUUCAAGACCAAGCUCCAUACCGUGCUCGACGUUUUUGGCGAUGUAACAAUUCUAAUUUGACGCUCGUAUAAUAAAAAUACACUCGUAAUAUAUACAGCGUUUGUACUCGAAAUAAAGCGCUCGAUGGAAUGAUAAAACGUUGCGCUAACAUAAGAAGUUGGUUAUCCAUGACAGCCUUUUGUUCCUUCCCUCGUUGAAAGAAUUGGAAAACGCUUGUAUCGCAUAAGUGGAAUGAUUCCGCAAAAUAAAUCCGAAAGAUUCUAGAAAUCGAGAAAGCGAGCGUACUUGUUGGCGCUAAUUAACCCCUCGCUCGAGUUAGGCCACAUCGUCGUCGACCUACGGAAACUGAUUCGUACACUUUGUUUCCGUGUUAUCGACAGAGAAUAACGCUUCUUGGAAAUUCGUUGCAAUAACGUUUACGGGUGAAAAUACGCCUCUCUCCCUUUUUGUCGUUUUAUUGGCUACAGAUCGACCGUCGAUACCUUCGACGAAAAUACAUGUCGCUCUACGAUAAACUCUAAUUAUUCCAAUACAUCAGCUGCAACUAUUGACUAAAUGUGUCGAUUCAAUUAUUAAAGGAUGCUACUUGUCUACGAUGUUGCAAAAUCAUUCAAGGAGGUGAAAUCAACCGUUCGUUCGUUCGCGCGUCCAUGGAGGUUGCUCCAUGCACACGCGUUUCCUUCUAUGAUCUCACAUAAAAAAGUUCGUCUAAUCAACGGGAAUCGUUGAUCGUACAAAAACCAUGAACAAAAAAUCUCACUACUCUUGCAUCAACCAUUAAACAAGUCAGCCCAAAGAAACGCUUCGCUCUUGUCGGUUCGGGAAGUGAAACCUACUUUCUUUGCAUACUUCAACAAACUACUCGUUUAUGUUAAACACAAAGGGAGACGUUGAAUACAAACGGAGAGGGUAGUUCACAGAAGUUCGUUAUAUUUCGAAAGUCGACGAAUACAGGAUCGCGCGAAUCUUCGGUUCUUCUUUUAAACGCUAGACCGAGGGAUGAGUAAUUUUCACUAAACGCGUGCAAAAAUAAUCCCCCUUUAUUGUCACUCACCUGUAGUCUCAAUCCGUUCGUUUUGCGUAAACGCAAAUAUUCUAUCGCUCACCCCUAUGAUCGAAAGUCAAUUACACGCACUCAUGCUCUGUUAAUUACAAAGUCGCGGAGCUCUCGGGAAAUAAAGGAACCAAGGGAGCUACGAGGGUACGCUACCAGCCGUCGGGGAAAUUCGAAAACGUUGACAAACGGCCAAUAGCGUAAAGGGAUCAAUUAGCUACUGGAAAUACUAAUAUUUAUAAAUAUGUACAUACACACGCGCCGCAAUCGAUACGGCGCUUCAUUUACACUGUAAAUACGGUGGAAAUGUUUAGUUCGGUGGAUCAGGUCCGCAUCUCGAAGAUUUCUUCCUCGAAAAAAAAUUCUUGCCGAUAAAUAUUCGAGGUAUUUCACCCCUCGUAGAUCGAAACUCAGGGCAGUUUUUCUACCUCGGGACAAGUGUUUCAUAUUUUAAGAACCCGAUGGAUAGGGGUGAAAAAUAAGAGAUAUCACUAAGCCAUAUUAGCAUGGAAUAAGAGUGUUUUUAAUGUUUUCAACAACAACAGGUACAGUAACCAGUCUACCUGCAGUAAGUACGUUGGUAAUUCUUUCCGUUUCUUUCACGCGCAUCCUUUCGUUCUCGCAGCCACUCACAUGUACACCAGACACGCACCCAACCCACGCACGCGUUCUCUCGCAGUUCCUUUCUUUUGUCUUCGUACCCGACUACCAAAUCCUUAUUACUGUCUUUUUGCCUCUUACCCAUUAAACGGAGUAAGUAAUUAAUUAUAUAAGUUCGCUACACAUCGUGUUAACUAUUCGGCUGUCUAGCUAGCUGACUAUACUAGUUACGUUACGGAUUUCGGGUUAACCUACUGGCUACGAUUUCGUGAUCUUUCCAAUAAACUGGAUCGCGUGUUCUAUAUGCAUUGAUCUCGGAUUAUUGUUCCGAGAAGCGAGUCUCGUGACGAACCGACACAGGAGAAAAGAAAGAUGGAAUAAAACGAAAUUUGAAUCGAAGGUAAUUCGAUGCUCUUAUUGGAAAGUCAGUGGAUCGUCGCCCGCCGGGAAUGCUUGCGGGGUGAGAAAUUGCGCUACGUCGAAGCUUCGUCCACAGAACACACGGAAAAAUAUCUUAAGAAUCGUAUACACGUCAACUCUCUAAGGAAUAACUUAUUUGGGGCGACUUUUUAGUGGAAUUCAAAGGAUUAUUUAAAAACUUUUCCUUUCGAUGCUACGGGGAUUUCAUCGACGCUACGAAUUUAAUUCACACUCAAAUUUUCUAUACUUCAAGCUUAGGCAAAAAUUUAGGAUUAGAAUUUUUAAGGUUCAAUUAUAAUAAAGAUUCGAUAAUAUAUCGUUGAAUAUAAAAUACAUAUUCGUGCUAUUUUAAUAGAACGAACUUGUUUAUAUUAUACUUAUAAACAAGUAGUUUUGAUUGACCGCAUCUAAUUGUAGAGCAAGUUAAAUACUUUUGUAUGUUACAAAAAUUAAAAUUCAACAAUCUAUGGCACUGAGAUGGUAGCUGACGUGAUUCU